AUGACCGGGACAACCCGAGGAAACUCGGGCUAAUACCGGAUGUGCUCGCGAGCCACAAGGCUCGCGCGGAAAGGAAGCUUCGGCCUCCGCAUCGGGAUGGGCCCGCGGCCCAUUAGCUUGUUGGUGGGGUAACGGCCCACCAAGGCUGCGAUGGGUAGCUGGUCUGAGAGGACGAUCAGCCACACUGGGACUGAGACACGGCCCAG
Molecule: ribosomal RNA, 206 nt
Filed under: uncultured bacterium
Lineage: Bacteria
Description: partial 16S ribosomal RNA
Rfam family: Bacterial small subunit ribosomal RNA
Source: RNAcentral